RNAcentral lists this transfer RNA (63 nucleotides) under Siboglinum ekmani. RNAcentral describes it as "tRNA-Met". The record is from RNAcentral. Lineage: Eukaryota; Metazoa; Annelida; Polychaeta; Sabellida; Siboglinidae.
AAUAAAAUAAGCUAAUUAUAAGCUACUGGGUUCAUACCCCAUUUAUGAUUUAUUCUUUUAUUA